RNAcentral lists this signal recognition particle RNA (98 nucleotides) under Anaerohalosphaera lusitana. RNAcentral's name for it is "Phycisphaerae bacterium ST-NAGAB-D1 Bacterial small signal recognition particle RNA". It matches the Rfam family "Bacterial small signal recognition particle RNA". Rfam says of the family: The signal recognition particle (SRP) is a universally conserved ribonucleoprotein involved in the co-translational targeting of proteins to membranes. Archaeal SRP consists of a 7S RNA and homologues of the eukaryotic SRP19 and SRP54 proteins. Lineage: Bacteria; Pseudomonadati; Planctomycetota; Phycisphaerae; Sedimentisphaerales; Anaerohalosphaeraceae. The record is from Rfam by way of RNAcentral.
GGUCGGGUCCCCUGCAAGCGGGGCGCGUGAACCUGGUCAGGCGGGGAACCGAGCAGCCAUAAGCGUUAGUCUCGUUGUGUAGGGCAAACCCGGCCACC